This 699-nucleotide ribosomal RNA is filed under the name Triticum aestivum (bread wheat). RNAcentral's name for it is "partial small subunit ribosomal RNA". Lineage: Eukaryota; Viridiplantae; Streptophyta; Magnoliopsida; Poales; Poaceae. The record is from RNAcentral.
AUGGUUACGAAAGCCAGGCAGCUGUCUUUGAAUAAUUCUUUGGAUACUAUCUCAUGGAAGCAUAAUAGUAAAGGAAAAUUUACGACUAAGUCGGUUUACGAGUGGCUAGAAAGGAACCUAUCAGGCCCUUAUUAUAAGUGGGUGUGGAGGUCUCCUAUUCCACUGAAAAUCAAAAUUUUCUUGUGGUAACUUUUUCAAAAUGCGGUGCUUACUAGAGAUAAUAUGCGGGCUAGGAGGUGGCCUGGGGAUCCUACAUGUUCCUUUUGUGCUAAUGUUGAAACAGCGAAUCAUCUAUUCUUUGCUUGCCCACUCGCUCGCACUGUUUGGGGUGUGUUGGGGAUGACGGGUGGAGCAUCUUGCUAUCCUCGAUCACUUUGGCAAAGCUGGACGUGGUUGUAUAGGUUCUUCCCGGGAGGGGAACGCUUUUAUAUGAUGAUUAUCGCUGCUGUUUGCUGGGGGAUCUGGAACCUUCGAAAUAAAGUCACUUUUGAGAAACAUGUUACACGCACUCUACUAGAGGCUGUUUUCACUGCAUGUUCUUUUAUGUUGUAUUGGGCAGGUUUGCUUAAAGAAGAUGACAAGGUGAAGUUUCAGGCUAGUGUGAAGAGAUUGGCUCAUGCGGCUGCUGCACUGGCGAAUCGAUCCUUUCCCCGUGGCAGACUCCUCCUCGGCGACAAUGAGGGGAUCCAGAUCGGCUAG